GAUGAACGCUGGCGGUAUGCUUAACACAUGCAAGUCGAACGGACUCUUCGGAGUUAGUGGCGGACGGGUGAGUAACGCGUGAGAAUCUGGCUUUGGGUUCGGGACAACCACUGGAAACGGUGGCUAAUACCGGAUGUGCCGAGAGGUAAAAGAGAAAUUGCCUGAAGAUGAGCUCGCGUCUGAUUAGCUAGUUGGUGAGGUAAAGGCUCACCAAGGCAGCGAUCAGUAGCUGGUCUGAGAGGAUGACCAGCCACACUGGGACUGAGACACGGCCCAGACUCCUACGGGAGGCAGCAGUGGGGAAUUUUCAGCAAUGGGCGAAAGCCUGACGGAGCAAUACCGCGUGAGGGAAGAAGGCUCUUGGGUUGUAAACCUCUUUUCUUAGGGAAGAACAAAAGGACGGUACCUAAGGAAUCAGCAUCGGCAAACUCCGU
This 434-nucleotide ribosomal RNA is filed under the name uncultured bacterium. Its description in RNAcentral is "partial 16S ribosomal RNA". It matches the Rfam family "Bacterial small subunit ribosomal RNA", at positions 28 to 506 of the family's 1533-position model. The record is from RNAcentral.